CUGACCGAUGUGGCCAGGAACUGUCACUAUCGGGUCAACAACAAGUUGGACGAGGAUCACCCACCACGGCCCAUGAGGGAGAUUGUCCGUGCCGCCCAUAAGAGGCUUGGUGAGAAGGCAGAGUACAAUGUUCUGAGGAAGAACUGUGAGCACUUUGUCACCGAACUGAGAUACGGCGAGCCUACAAGCCGGCAGGUUCAAAACGCCGCAAUGGGAGCAGGGCUGGUGUCAGCCUUAGGUGCGGCUGCUAUUGGAGCAGCCACCCUUGCUAAUUCUGUAAUGAGGAACUGAUCCCACACCAGUGACAGCCUGAAGAAACCACAGGAUCCUGCCCUCGAAGCCGCUGACCAGCCAGAACCCCCACCUCCGCUGCCUCCCUGACCCCGGCUCCCGUGCAGCCUGCAGUUGUGUCCCUCCUUCUCUCCCGCUCGCUGACCGAAGGAUGGAAUAAUUGUACCAAGACCUAGAAUGAAUAAAUGUAUCUGCCUUUCCCUUCACAGAGGAA
This is a long non-coding RNA of Phyllostomus hastatus (greater spear-nosed bat), 505 nucleotides long. RefSeq lists it as uncharacterized. The record is from RefSeq and is a predicted model, not a curated record. NCBI's taxonomy places the organism in Eukaryota, Metazoa, Chordata, Mammalia, Chiroptera, Phyllostomidae. The transcript has 2 exons.